AUUGAACGCUGGCGGUAUGCUUAAGACAUGCAAGUCGUGCGGUAGAAGGCUUCGGCCUUUGAGAGCGGCGGACGGGUGAGUAACACGUGGGAAUCUGCCUAUUAGUGGGGGACAGCCCAGCGAAAGCUGGAUUAAUACCGCAUACGCCCUACGGGGAAAGGACAGCAAUGCGCUAAUAGAUGAGCCGCGUAAGAUUAGCUAGUUGGUAAGGUAAAGGACUUACCAAGGCGACGAUCUUUAGCUGGUCUGAGAGGAUGGCCAGCCACAUCGGGACUGAGACACGGCCCGGACUCCUACGGGAGGCAGCAGUCGGGAAUAUUGGACAAUGGGCGCAAGCCUGAUCCAGCAAUACCGCGUGUGUGAAGAAGGCCUGCGGGUUGUAAAGCACUUUCAGUUGGGAAGAUAAUGACGUUACCAACAGAAGAAGCACCGGCUAACUCCGUGCCAGCAGCCGCGGUUAAUGUAGUCGUGU
Molecule: ribosomal RNA, 472 nt
Filed under: uncultured bacterium
Lineage: Bacteria
Description: bacterial SSU rRNA
Rfam family: Bacterial small subunit ribosomal RNA
Source: RNAcentral